AACGUAGGAGGCGAACGUUAUCCGGAUUUACUGGGCGUAAAGCGCGUGUAGGUGGUUUGGUAAGUAGGGCGUGAAAGCUCCCGGCUCAACUGGGAGAGGUCGUUCUAAACUGCCGAGCUAGAGGAUGGUAGAGGGAGGUGGAAUUCCGGGUGUAGCGGUGGAAUGCGCAGAUAUCCGGAGGAACACCAGUGGCGAAAGCGGCCUCCUGGACCAUUCCUGACACUCAGACGCGAAAGCUAGGGUAGCAAACGGGAUUAGAUACCCGGGUAGUCCCUGAGCGGGCUGGCAA
RNAcentral lists this ribosomal RNA (289 nucleotides) under uncultured prokaryote. RNAcentral's name for it is "partial 16S ribosomal RNA". It matches the Rfam family "Bacterial small subunit ribosomal RNA", at positions 524 to 815 of the family's 1533-position model. The record is from RNAcentral.